This is an RNA transcript of Camelina sativa (false flax), 2724 nucleotides long. RefSeq lists it as uncharacterized. The record is from RefSeq and is a predicted model, not a curated record. Lineage: Eukaryota; Viridiplantae; Streptophyta; Magnoliopsida; Brassicales; Brassicaceae.
CUUCGUCUGCUUCUUUUGCUUUUUCAGAUAGUUUCCAUUCUCACUCUUUCUCUCUCUUUCUCUCUCAGAGCUUUUAUUAAUGUUAGAUCUGUCUCUUACGUCGCUUCGAAGUCUUCUUCAUUCCUUCUUCACAUACAACCCCCAACGAAUCCCUAAUUUAUCCAAUUCCACACUCCGCUACAGAGAGAGAGAUAGAGAGAUCUCAAUCAAAUUCGUCGACAAUGGCGUCUCCCAAUCCCUACACCAAGCGUCGCUCUCCUCCUCCGCCGCCGUCUACCACUCAGCCCCGUUCCAAAUCCACCGGAGGAGGAGGAGGAUUCUUCUGUAAGUCUGUUCUAUUCGCUCUCUUUCUCCUCGCCUUGCCUUUAUUCCCUUCUCAAGCCCCCGAUUUCGUCGGCGAGACUGUGCUCACCAAGUUCUGGGAACUCAUUCACCUCCUAUUCGUCGGCAUUGCUGUUGCUUAUGGUUUGUUUAGCCGUAGGACUGUUGAAUCCCCUCUUGAUUUUAGUCUAGUAGAUGACUCUUCUUCUUCUUCUUCUUCUUCUUCUUCUUCUUUGUCUUAUGUUUCCACAAUCUUCCAGUUUGAUGAGAAUCAUCAUCAUUCUUCUGAUUUUGUUGAUGUGAGGACUGAGACUCGUUUGAUUAAUAAUAAUGUCAGUGCUCGUCGAGCUCCGGUGGUUCUUAAAUCCGAGUCUUCUUUUGUUGUUGAAUCCGAAUUGGAAGAAUCGUCUUCUGAAUAUGUUGGUGGUGGUGCUAGUCAAAGUCAAACCAAUGAAGUCAGAGCUUGGAGUUCCCAGUAUUUUCAAGGCAAGUCUAAGGUUGUGGUUGCUAGACCAGCUUAUGGUCUUGAUGGUCAUGUUGUUCACCAGCCUUUAGGCUUGCCUAUUAGGAGUUUAAGGUCUGCUUUGAGAGAUAAUACUCCAGCUCCUGAAGAUAAUAACAAUAACUCCUUUUCUGAUGGAGCUGUAAAUGGGGAAGCUGACUCAUUAUUAUUGCCUGAUGAGGUCGUGGCUGCUCCCACUUCACCUCCUGUUCCAUGGCAUUUUACACCUGAAAUGAUGGGAAUGGGAGACAACUACCCUUCUGAGUUUUAUCCUCAAUCUGUAGAUGAAACUCAAUUUACGACUCGCAAAUCGGCAUCAUCUUCUUCCCGGUCUACUGCUUCUUCUCCAUCGCAAACUAGUCUUGCAUCCCAUACUCAGAACAGAUUCUCUCCUUCUCGUUCUGUUUCUCAGGAGUCUCUAAACUCAAAUGUGGAAGAACUGGUCAAGGAACAGAGUCUUCAGGGUUCAACACGGUCUAGUUCGCCAUCCUUGCCCCCAUCACCGUCUUUGUCUUCAUCUCCACCAUCGCCACAAUUACUGAUCGAUGAUACUCACAGGCGUUUGCCAGAAUUAGUAACCGAUGAUACUCACAGGCGUUUGCCAGAAUUAGUAACUGAUGAUACUCACAGGCGUGCCUCACAUUCUCGGCAUUACAGUGAUGGUUCAUUGUUAGAGGAGGGUGUAAGGAAGGGCUUUGAAGAUGAACUGGAAGGGAGCAAAGUCAGAGAGAGAGACAGGAGGAUGGAACGGGGAUCUAAAUCACUUAAUUUGACUGCUGAAAGUUCCCGCAGAGGGAACAAAUCUCGCAGAUCCUACCCUCCUGAGUCCAUCUCAUCUCCCGUGGAUGACUCCACAACUAGGAGACGGAAUCUUCAGCAAAAGAGUAAUGGCCAUUUGCUUGAAGACAAUAUCGGGAAAGGAUCGGAGGCCAACAAUAACAAUCUGAGGGUCAAAAAGGGAAGGAGUCACGACUCUUUGGACCUACCAGCGGAAGACUCUACAAAAGAUGAGGUAUUCAGUGAAUCUUUUCCUGCUCUGGAGGUACGGUUCCAGCCAACGAAUGCUAAAGCUUCAAGGCGUGCAAUGCAUUCUUCACGAGGGGAACGUGACGCUUUGCCGCAGAAGGAUGUCACAAGAAACUUAAAAGAUGACACUGUGCAUUCAGAUAAGCCCAGGAAAAAGGACCUUCGCGGUAAUGACAAGGAAUCGAAAUCAAAUAGUCCGAGGCUUGAAUCACGUUCUUGGAGGGCUUCUAGUAAUGUAUCACUGAGAGGAAAGUCUGUGAGGACCAUAAGAUCUGAUCGCCAUGGGAAAGAUCUAAAGGCAGAUGGAGAUUCAUCUGAUGAUCGGGCAGAAGCUAAAGUAGAAAGCCGAGGAAGAACGAAAUCGAGAAGACAACGAGAACAAGAACUAUCAAUUGUACUGCACCAGGAGAAGAGUUCAGAAACUCGCGCUAAAUCUGAGCCAGAAGAGGUUGCUAUGGAAGAGACAGAGGCCGAGCAGCAACCUCAAGUAACUUUAGAGGAAGAGGAAGAAGCUGCUUGGGAAAGUCAAAGCAAUGCGAGCCAUGACCAUAAUGAGGUUGAUAGAAAAGCCGGCGAGUUCAUAGCAAAAUUCCGGCAACAAAUCCGGUUGCAGAAGCUCAUAUCCGGUGAACAACCUAGAGGAGGAGGAGGAGGCACUGGAAUCGCCGGAGGGAGAAGCUAUGGUGAUAAUUUUAUCAACUCCUCUCUAUCCAAGACUUACAGUUCUACGUGAAACAAAAGUGCAAACGAUCGUUAUGUUGCUCACUGAGUGAAGAACCAAAAGACCAAAGGUAGACUGUGAAGACUUGCAAAAGAUAGUCGCUUGAAAUCUUUGUUCACUGUUACACGAUGAACCACACUCUUGUAUAUGCCAU